UACGAAGGGGGCUAGCGUUGCUCGGAAUCACUGGGCGUAAAGCGCACGUAGGCGGAUUGCUAAGUCAGGGGUGAAAUCCUGGAGCUCAACUCCAGAACUGCCCUUGAUACUGGCGGUCUCGAGUCCGGGAGAGGUGAGUGGAACUGCGAGUGUAGAAGUGAAAUUCGUAGAUAUUCGCAAGAACACCAGUGGCGAAGGCGGCUCACUGGCCCGGUACUGACGCUGAGGUGCGAAAGCGUGGGGAGCAAACAGG
RNAcentral lists this ribosomal RNA (253 nucleotides) under uncultured bacterium. RNAcentral's name for it is "partial 16S ribosomal RNA". It matches the Rfam family "Bacterial small subunit ribosomal RNA", at positions 524 to 776 of the family's 1533-position model. The record is from RNAcentral.